AGGCCGCGCCGUUGUUCGACGCCGGCGGGGUGCUUGAGGUGGGCGGUGGGCCCCCCUCCGAUUUGAACUCCGGGGCCACGCUUGGGUGCCCCUCUGGUUUGUAGGGUUUCUGCCGAGUUGGUUACAAGUUUUCUGAACAUGCCCAAGACAUGAGAUAGUUCUCUACAAGGUAUUGAAAACAUGGCAUCAAAAGGUCCUCGGUCAAAGCUAGAUCAUGAGACAAGAGCCAGACGUCAGAAGGCUCUUGAAGCCCCCAGGGAGCCUCGAAGGCCAAAAACUCACUGGGAUCAUCUUCUUGGAGAAAUGACUUGGCUGGCAAAGGAGUUUGAUUCUGAGAGAAAAUGGAAGCUAUCCAUGGCUAAAAAGAUUGCUCAAAGAGCUAAUAAGGGUGUAGUUGACCAAGCAACAAAGGAUGAGAGAAAACAGAAGGAGGAAGAAGUUCGCCUGAGAAAAGUUGCCCUAAAUAUUUCUAAGGAUGUGAAGAAAUUCUGGACCAAAAUAGAGAAGCUGGUUUUUUAUAAGAACCAACUGGAGCUUGAGGAAAGGAAAAAAAAGGCCCUAGAUAAGCAACUGGAUUUCCUUUUAGGACAGACUGAAAGAUAUUCAACAAUGCUGGCAGAAAACCUUGUGGAUGUGUCCUUCCUUCAAAAUCAAGAAAAUGAAUCUUUACAGACUAAUCAAAGAUCCCAGCAAGAACUAGCACAAGAGAACAUAAAUGCAUCAAUUCCUAAUGAUGUUGAUAAUGAUGAAAUGGAUGAUGACUACAACAGCUCCUUGGGGGAAGAGCCAGAAGAUGAUGAACACACUAUUGACGAGGAUGAAGCUCAAAUUACGGAGGCUGAGCGCAACGAGGAACUGGCUGCUUUGCAUGCAGAAGCUGAUCUACCACUGGAUGAUAUUCUCAAGUUGUACACGAAAGCCAAAGUUAGCAGGGAAAGCAGUCCAGAUGGCAAAGAUGUUUUUAGUGACUCAGAUUCGAAGAAUUUGAUUAAAGAUUCUUUGAACCAGGCUAAUGGCUGCAAUGAUGAAUCUGAUCAUACUUCAAGUGAUGAAGGCAUUUCUUCUGAGGAAGCGGAUGAUUAUCACUCCUACUCUGAGUUUGUGAAAAAGAACACCGGGAAGUGCAAUGGCAAUAUCUCAUCUGUCGAUGCAAAGGAUGACAAAGAUUACGUUGCCAAUGAUGAUGGAAAGGAUGAUGAAGCUACUUUGUCUGAAGAGGAAGAGUUGGCAAAGCAAGAAGAUCCUGAUCCUCUGGAAGAGAUUAAGUUACUGCAGAAAGAGAGUGAGAUCCCACUUGAAGAACUUCUUGCGAGGUACCAAAAGGAUGGCUAUGCAGAUGAUGACACAACAGAAUUGGAAAAUUCACCUGCACUAUCAGUUGAGGAUGUUAAAACCAACAUGUCUGUAGAUGAUGAGUCUGUGGAGGCAGAUAUCGUGAAAGUGACCAACAAUCAGUCUGCAGAGACCAUGGAAGUGAAUAGGGAUCAAUCUGCUGAGAUUGUGGAGGUGAACAAUGACACAUUUGAAGAUAAUGAUACAACAGACAUGCUGGGAGCUGAGAAUGUGAGUGGUAGUGUUCUACAAAUAGAAACGUUGGAGCCUAUUGUACAGGAAAGUGCUGUUAAAGAGGGUGAGGUAACUGAUAUUAAAGCGAUGCCCAAUGGAGAUAAUAGCGACAAUGUAAUUGCUGAUGCUGCAGCUGCUGCAAGAUCAGCACAACCAACUGGUAACACUUUCUCAACAACAAAUGUGCGAACAAAAUUCCCUUUUCUUCUGAAGCAUUCUCUUCGAGAAUACCAGCACAUUGGACUGGAUUGGCUGGUUGCUAUGUAUGAAAAGAGGCUGAAUGGAAUUCUAGCAGAUGAAAUGGGUUUGGGGAAGACGAUCAUGACCAUCUCCUUGCUUGCACACCUCGCAUGUGAGAAGGGAAUAUGGGGCCCACAUCUUAUUGUAGUGCCAACCAGUGUUAUGCUAAAUUGGGAGACUGAAUUUCUCAAAUGGUGUCCUGCGUUUAAAAUACUGACUUAUUUUGGAAGUGCAAAGGAGAGAAAACAGAAACGUCAGGGUUGGAUGAAACCAAAUUACUUCCAUGUAUGCAUCACAACAUACAGGCUUGUUAUUCAAGACUCCAAGGUGUUUAAGCGAAAAAAGUGGAAGUAUCUCAUUCUUGAUGAGGCUCAUCUGAUAAAGAACUGGAAAUCACAAAGAUGGCAAACUUUGCUAAAUUUUAAUUCAAAGCGGCGCAUUCUUUUAACUGGAACUCCUCUGCAAAAUGACCUUAUGGAACUUUGGUCUCUCAUGCACUUUUUAAUGCCCCAUGUAUUUCAGUCGCAUCAAGAGUUCAAGGACUGGUUCUGCAAUCCAAUUUCAGGCAUGGUAGAGGGCCAAGACAAGGUAAACAAAGAAGUUAUAGAUCGGUUGCACAACGUCCUUCGCCCAUUUAUACUUCGUCGACUGAAACGGGAUGUGGAGAAACAGUUGCCACAGAAGCAUGAGCAUGUCAUAUAUUGCCGACUUUCUAGAAGGCAAAGGAACUUGUAUGAAGAUUUCAUUGCAAGCUCAGAGACUCAGGCAACAUUGGCUAGUGGAAACUAUUUUGGUAUGAUUAGCAUCAUUAUGCAACUUAGAAAGGUUUGUAACCAUCCAGAUCUUUUUGAAGGUCGACCGAUUAUCAGCUCUUUUGACAUGGCAGGGAUCAACAAGCAGAUCAGCUCUUUUGUUAGCAUGGUCCUUGAUAAAGGCCCAUUUUCUCAGGUUGACCUGUCAGAUAUGAAUUUUAUAUUUACUCAAAAUGAAUUUAAUAUGACCUCUUGGGAGUUAGAUGAGGUCGCUGCCAUUUUUCCUCCAAGCAUAACCCGCAGGGGCUCUGGUUCAGGGAUAUCUCGUUCUAGUAAUGAUGGUCAGAGAAGGAAUGGGAGAAAUAUUUUUGAAGAAAUUCAGAAUUCCCUUUGGGAGGAGAGAAUAAAAGAAGCCAAGGAAAGAGCAGCUUCCAUUGCAUGGUGGAAUAGGGUAAGAUGCCAGAAGGGGCCUGUUUAUGGCACAAAUAUUAGGGAGGUUUUGACCAUAAAGCAUCCUGUGUCUGAUGUACUUGAGAAGAAGAACAAUCCUUUGUGCCACAUGGAAUUUUCAUCAAGCCUGGCGGAUCUUGUUCUUUCAUCGGUGGAACGCUUCAAGAAAAUGCUUGAUUUUAUUGAGUCAUUUACUUUUGCAAUUCCUGCUGCACGGGCACCUACACCAUUUUUCUGGUGCAGCAAAGGGAAGUCUCCUGUUAUUGAACCAGCAUACAGAGAAAAAUGUAUGAAUGAGUUUUCUCCUGUUUUCUCCCCUAUAAGGCCUGCGAUUGUUCGCCGUCAAGUGUACUUUCCUGACAGGCGUUUGAUCCAGUUUGACUGUGGUAAACUGCAAGAACUUGCUAUUUUGUUGAGGCGUUUGAAGUCAGAAGGACACAGGGCCUUGAUAUUUACUCAGAUGACUAAGAUGCUUGAUAUACUGGAGGAAUUCAUUAAUCUGUAUGGGUAUACAUAUUUGCGACUAGAUGGAUCAACCCAGCCAGAAGAGAGGCAGACACUGAUGCAGAGGUUUAAUACUAACCCAAAGUUUUUUCUUUUUAUUUUAUCCACUCGUAGUGGUGGUGUGGGUAUCAACCUAGUAGGUGCAGACACUGUCAUUUUCUAUGAUAGUGACUGGAAUCCUGCAAUGGACCAACAAGCCCAGGACAGAUGCCACAGGAUAGGUCAAACUCGUGAAGUUCACAUCUAUAGACUGAUUAGUGAGAGCACCAUAGAGGAGAAUAUACUCAAGAAAGCCAAUCAGAAGCGAGCUCUUGAUGAUCUAGUGAUACAACGUGGUAGCUACAAUACAGAGUUCUUCAAGAAGCUUGAUCCUAUGGAAUUCUUUUCUGGGCACUCCUCACUUCACGCAGAGAAUCAACAGAAAGAUUGCUCUAUGUCUGCUGGACCCUCAAAUGGAACUAGUUUGGCACUGUCAAAUUUGGAUGUUGAGGCAGCUAUUAGACAGGCAGAAGAUGAAGCUGACUAUAUGGCUCUCAAGAAGCUGGAGCAGGAAGAGGCUGUGGACAAUCAAGAAUUCAGCGAGGAGGUUGCUGGAAGACUUGAGGAGGAGGAUCUUGUAAAUGAGGAGGAUGCUAAGCAUGAUGAACACACCAAUGAAGAGCAUAAAAACCAAUGUUCUGAAUUGGAGAAGGACAAGCAUGUUGCUUUAUCGAUGAAUCAAUUAGAUGAAGAAAAGGCUAUAACUUUGGCUGGUGGGGAUGGAGAUAUUGACAUGCUUGCUGAUGUUAAGCAGAUGGCUGCUGCAGCUGCUGCAGCUGGUCAAGCAAGUUCGUCUUUUGAAAAUCAGCUCCGACCAAUUGAUAGAUAUGCCAUGCGGUUUUUGGAACUCUGGGAUCCAAUAAUUGAUAAAGCUGCUAUAAACUAUCAAGUCAAUGUUGAAGAGGAAGAAUGGGAACUUGAACGCAUUGAAAAACUCAAAGAAGAUUUAGAAGCAGAAAUUGAUGAAGACCAGGAACCGCUUUCUUACGAGUCAUGGGAUGUUGAUUUUGCUACUACAGCAUAUCGGCAACAUGUUGAGGCUCUAGCUCAAAAACAGUUGUUGGAGGAGCAAGAAAAACAAGCCCGCGAAGCAGCAAAAGAGUUGGAGGAAAAGAAUGAUAAUAUGAGCGCUCAACGCAAAAAGUCAAAAAAGAACAAGAAGAAGGCAGCAAAGUUCAAAUCUCUGAAGAAAGGACGUUUGUCGUCCGAGUCAGAGGUUAUGGUUGAGGAAACAUCUGUAGAUACUAUGAGCAUUGAUGACAAUGCACCCUCACCAGAGCUAAUGAGUGAUGAAUCAGUACAUCAUUAUUCUAACAAGCGUAGGAGGGCAAUGUCAACAAAUGAGGAUGAGAACAACAAUAGCAGAAGCCUGAAGAAGCUCAAGAAAGCCCCUAAAUCAAGUUUCAUUUCAGAGGCCUUAUCACCCAAACAUCUUGAAGGCAAACAGCUUAAGUUUAAAGAUGAACUUAAUGAUUUUGAUCCAAAAUCGGCGGCAAGAAUCAAGAGUGAUGGCCGAAUUUCCAUUCCAUUCAUGCCAGUAAAACGUGUCAUGGUAAUCAAGCCAGAGAGAUUGAAGAAGAAGAGCCUAUGGUCCCGAGACUGUGCUUCAGACUCAUGGACAACUGAGGAAGAUGCCGUUCUUUGUGCAACUGUAAAUGAGUAUGGUCCUCUUUGGGAACUGGCUAGUGAUUCUCUUCAUGCUGUACCAGGUGGUGCAUUUUAUAGGGGAAGGUACCGUCAUCCGGUGCAUUGCUGUGAAAGAUUCCGGGAAUUAGUCUGCAAGCACAUCUUAUCAGCAACAGAUAAUUCAAACAGUGAGAAGGUCCCUUCUGGGACCGGGAAGGCUAUCUUGAAAGUAUCUGAGGAUCAAACUCAGAUGUUGCUCAAUGUAAUCAGCGAACUUCCUAACAAUGAGUUGCUUCUCCAGAAACAUUUCAUGGCUGUCCUUUCAUCUGUUUGGAGAUCAAAGUCUGCCCGUGAGUCCCGGAGUGUUACGAGUAACUCUUAUACACUCCAUAAGCCUGGUAGAUUCAGUGAGAACUGGUCCAUUGCAAACUUCAGACCAAACUUUAAUCUAGUAAGGACAGCCCUCGCAGAUGCUCAGGCUCAAUGUCCAAGAAUGGUAGUUCCAACAAACAAUCAUGAGUCCCGCCGUAACUAUUUGGAACUGGAACUGGAUUUCUUGACAGAUCAGUGUGAUUAUGAGGCUGACUUUCCAUCUGUAGUUAACGUGUCCGUACUAGAACCGGAACCUCUAAAACAUGCCAUGGAACCAGUGGAGCAAUCACUGCUGUCCACACUUUCUUAUAGACAUGCUGAGAACCGAUUCAGGAUAGUAUCAGAAACUUGUUUUGAAGGGGAAGGCUCUCACUGGGCCUCAUCUUCUUUCCACACAUGUGAUGCUGGUCGGCAUAAAUCUGGUUCAAAGUCCAUAGGAAAGCAGAAAGCAUCGUCAGAAUCUGGAAGGCCUGCCAAAUCCAAAAUUCAAAGGACUACUGAACCACAGGAAGGCCCAGUUACAAAUAGUUUUCAUAGGAUUCCGGGUCAACUUCUGCAUAACUCAUCUGAAUUCCACAUUACCCAGUCCCUAUCUGACUUUGGCAUCAAUGAUUCUGAAUUCACCCACUUUGAGGAUCUUCCUCAAGAGGCUGACACAGACUUUGUUCCGUACCAAUAUGACUCUGAUGUCCUUUCUUGUAUUGAGGAGUUGGAUCCUCUUUCAGACUUCACUGACAUCGGAUGACAACAUAAGAACAGAUUGCUCUGGAUGGCAUGCCCUUUCUUCAAACAGGACGUAAGAUUGUCUAUGGCAGGAGCCCAGGGAUGCAGACCGAGUCGCUCGGCCACACAGAACCGAUGCAAGCUUGAUGGCGAUUGGUGGGAGCGAAGCUUUUUGCUUGAAGUGGUCACAUUGACCUACAAGCUUUGAGGGUGUUGGUAUGCACUAAUGGAGGCAUUGGGUACUUUCUAUACAUAUGCCAACAGAGAAGGGAAAAGAGGAGGCCCUCGGCAUCACCCAAUCAUUAUUUCUUGCGUUCACUGGCCGUUUAAUCCAGUCAUUUGCCUACCUGUUGCCUUUUGGCACAGAAAAAAAUCCAGAUGUUUAACCUUCCUGAUGGCUGUAUGCUCUCGGUCAAUCGCAAUCCAGAUAUGGACUAUUGGGGAAUGGGGAUAAAUCCCUCGUGAAAAUUGGUGUUUCAAUUUUCACUGGAGGAACAAACAAUGUCUUGUUUUGUUGUAAUCCUGAAGUUCUUGGACUGAAAUACUGGCCUUCAAAAGAGGCAAGACCACCUUCAGCCUUCAGGUACAUUCAUACAUGGUAGAUACUCCGUAUCGUGGAUCGGUGUUCAUUGUACAACGGGCAACUAGCAACCUCUAAUGCACGUUUCCCUGGAUAGAACGUAUUACUGCGUCAAGCUUCGGCAGGAUAAUGAUGAAUUAUGUAAAUGCAUUCAAUAACAUGCACAUUUGAUUCUAUUUUUUAAUUUAAAUGUGCGAAAUUUCCAUGUCAUGGAAAUAUAUAUUUAUUCAC
Molecule: RNA transcript, 7083 nt
Organism: Oryza brachyantha (malo sina)
Lineage: Eukaryota; Viridiplantae; Streptophyta; Magnoliopsida; Poales; Poaceae
Gene name: protein PHOTOPERIOD-INDEPENDENT EARLY FLOWERING 1
Exons: 22
Source: RefSeq, a predicted model, not a curated record